UACGUAGGGGGCAAGCGUUGUCCGGAAUCAUUGGGCGUAAAGCGCGUGUAGGCGGCUUGGUAAGUCUGCUCUGAAAGCCCGGGGCUCAACCCCGGGAGGCGGGUGGAUACUGUCAAGCUCGAGUCCGGAAGAGGCGAGUGGAAUUCCUGGUGUAGCGGUGGAAUGCGCAGAUAUCAGGAGGAACACCGGUGGCGAAGGCGGAUCUCUGGGCCUUACCUGACGCUGAGGCGCGAAAGCUAGGGGAGCGAACAGG
Molecule: ribosomal RNA, 253 nt
Filed under: uncultured bacterium
Lineage: Bacteria
Description: partial 16S ribosomal RNA
Rfam family: Bacterial small subunit ribosomal RNA
Source: RNAcentral